RNAcentral lists this ribosomal RNA (253 nucleotides) under uncultured bacterium. RNAcentral describes it as "partial 16S ribosomal RNA". It matches the Rfam family "Bacterial small subunit ribosomal RNA", at positions 524 to 776 of the family's 1533-position model. The record is from RNAcentral.
UACGUAGGGCGCAAGCGUUGUCCGGAAUUAUUGGGCGUAAAGAGCUCGUAGGCGGCUUGUUGCGUCGGUUGUGAAAGCCCGGGGCUUAACCCCGGGUCGGCAGUGGAUACGGGCAGGCUAGAGGUAGGUAGGGGAGAAUGGAAUUCCCGGUGUAGCGGUGAAAUGCGCAGAUAUCAAGAGGAAUACCUGAGGUGAAGACGGGUUGCUAGGCCGACACUGACGCUGAAGCGCGAAAGCCAGGGGAGCAAACGGG